CGUGUUUGAGAUUUUUUUAUUUAUAUUCUUAGGUAAUUUUUAACUAGAAAAAAUAUCAAAUUAAUUUUAUUUUUUUAGUAUUUAUAAUAAUUUUGAUGUACUAAUAUUAAAAAUAAAAAAAUCUAAAAACUAUUAUUUAAUUUCAUAUAAGCAACGAGUUAUUAAUAAAAAUAUCAUAUGCACCCCAACCCCCCUAACUACAGAACAUUGUGCCCAUGAAAAGGCAAGAGACGUAUUAUUACAUUGACAGAGACGACAACAUGAUGCACCGUAUAAAAGCUUCUCUAUUUUGAUUCUGCUCCAAGGAGGUGUUCCUGUGGAAUUAUCUUGGUAUAGAGAGAAAACGUCACGCUGGCAACUACAGGCCCAACCCAAAACACCCAAUGCCCCUUCCACGGAUGACCACCUCUAACGAGUGCCGGACCUAAACAUCUAGCUGGGUUCAUCCCAACUCCGGCAUAGCCUUUGGUUGCGGUCACCGUUGUCGAGAUGAACACGAGAAGGCCCACUACCAGCCCAAUAAAAUAAUAAGGGACUCGCAUAGAAUCGUGGAAAAAUAUCUUGCAAGUAUUGGGUUCAAACCUAUUAGAGAUGAAAAAUGGGUCUACGCGCGUUGCCUGAACCCAAAUAUGUUGGUCUUGGGAUGCGCUCCCGAGCUCAAGUUCAUGGGGAUGCUGAGGUGCACACCCAGCUUGCUGGGCAUGUCAUGCCCACAAUGGGUGUGCACCCAAUUAAGCGAACGCCAUGUAUGGACUUGAGUUUCUUGCCUUAGCUCAUGUUCUCUAAGGAGUUAGACUCGGGCUACAAUAAAUACCCGAAUCUAUCUUUUUCGGAUUCUCUAUUGUAUAUUGAGAUCAAGCUUAGUACCAUGAGUAUUUUUAAGAUUUAUUUUGAGAUAAUUUUUUAGGUUUGUUUUGAAAGGAUUUUGAAGGUAUAUUUUAUUUCAACCUAUCAAAUACAAUGCAUCUUCGAGCGAGCGAAAAACCAAUUCACUCGAAGAGUUUUUUAUUUUUUAAUCAAAACUCACUUUGACGUUACCAUAUUUCCGAAUGAAGAGUCCAAAAUACGUCUUCCAUUGUUUUGAAGGAAGGUAUGUAUAUAUAUAUAUAUAUAUAUAUAUAUAUAUAUAUAUAUAUAUAUAUAUAUAUAUAUAUAUAUAUAAUGCAUCUUCGAGCGAGGGAAAAACCAAUUCACUCGAAGAGGUUUUUUAUUUUUUAAUCAAAACUCACUUUGACGUUACCAUAUUUCCUAAUGAAGAGUAUAUAAAGGGAAAGAUUCCAAAAAUGUCAUGUCAAGUGCCAAAUUCAACCAGCACGUGGGAUCAUAAUGAGAAUAUUGAAACAAAAUAUAUGAUUUAAUAUCGUAAUUAUAACAUUUAUGCUUUCUUAGAUAUAAUCCUAACAUUUUUGCUUGCUUAGAUCAUUUUCCACCAUGACAUAGUAUUCCACUGGCAAAUUGAGCAAAGGUGGUAUAAAUAUCUGUUGUGGGUUGCUUAAGAAAAAAAUUGUAAGCAUGCGGUUGUUUUAAAGUGUUUUUUUAAUAAUAAGUUUUUUUAUUAUGAACAAAAAAUUUGAUAUAUAUAUAUAUAUAUAUAUAAUAAAAUAUUUCAAGAAUUAAAUACAUUAAUAAAUAUUAAAAAAAUUGUUAACUAAAUUAGAAAGCUAAUUUUUUUUAAUUACAUGGUAACAAAUUUUUUAUAAACAAAGCAAUAGUUGAAUUCCAUUAAAAUAAAAUAAUUUGUCAAGAUAAUUCCUCAAUUUUUUUAUUAAUAUUUUUAACUUUAACUAAUUUUUUUACUGUGUGAUUUAUUUAAUAAAUAACUAACCCAUGUUAAAAAAAGGUUUGCAAUUUCAAGCUUUUAAGUGUUUAUUUUUAUGGCUCAACCGUUCUUCUUAAAAACAAAUGAUUUUUUUUUGUUUUAAAUAAUUUUUUAUUAUAUUUUUUUAUUUUAAUAUACUGAUAUUAAAAAUAAAUUUUAAAUAAUAAUAAAAAUAUUAUUUUAAUACAUUUCAAAAUAAAAAACACUUUUAAACAAACAAUCAUUGUUAAAUGCUAAUCACUACCUAAGAUCCUCGACAACCAUGCUUUUCUUUCAAUUCGAUUUCAAUUUUUCCCAUUCUAUUGUAUAGAAGCUUUAUGUAUUUAUUUUAUAAUCAUCGUAGAAGCCUUUUCCAUUAUAUAUUACCACUCUUUGAUACUUUCCUUUCCUUGUAUUUUUAAAUAAAAAAAAACCCUGUAUGCAAAAUUUUCUUUACCCUUUUGUUAUCACUUUCCUAUGAAGAACUAUAUGUGUCCCUAUUGCUCAUGAUCAAAAUCCUUCAGGCCUUCAACAAUUUUUCAAUUACAGUCUUCAACAAUUUUUCAAUUAUACACUGGGAUUUUUAUCUAAGCUGGUCUAUUUUUAAGUCUAAAAAUGACUUCAUCUACUAUUCCAGCAGACGACAAGUGAGCAUAACAAUGUUGAGGGUUGCAGAGGCUGAAAAUCAAAAGGAAAGAAAGAAACAGAGUACAAAGACGUUUUGGCUGCUAACUUUCCAAUGCAGUUUUAUUAUUCUAAUUGUCUCAUUAUCUCUCAAUGAAGAAACAGAAGGAAUACAUAUACACGUAUCAAGGCUGAUGAGUCAGCCUUUCCCAUGCAAAAGGAAAUUAUUCCCACACCAUGCAAAAGGAAUUAAGUUAACUGAGUGGUUAUGAAGGCCCGUGGGAUUAGUCGAGGUGCGCGCAAGCUGACCCGAACACCCAUGUUAAACUAAAAAAAAAAAGAAAAAAGAAUGUAUAACUGACUAUAGCUGAAAAACAGGGAAAACUAAUCAUCCUUUUUCUUUUAACAACUUUACAUCCUCCUCCUUAUUCUUUAACAUAAUCAUCUUUAACAAUAUUAAAAAAAAAAAAACAAUAAUUCGUUAUUCUACGAUUGAAAUGAGAGAUCAUUGUUGAAUCAAGCAUAAUAAUAAAUAGCAUUAAUAGGACGGACAUGGUGAUCUUAUUACAUCAAUCAUUACCGAAGAUAGUCACAAUCAAAUUUAAAAUCUAAAAAAUAACAUGAAACAAAGAUUUCUACUUAAUGCUUUUAUUCAAUGGUGUGGGCAAGUUGGCGUGGAAUGAUCUUCGUGUACACGGCGAAGGCCACGCAUGCAACAGCUGGUCCAACCCAAAACACCCAAUGCCCAUUCCAAAGAUGACCUCCUCUUACAAUCGCCGGACCCAAACACCUAGCUGGGUUCAGCCCUGCCCCUGCAUAACCUUUCGUAGUAGUGACUGUGGUGGAAACAAACACGAGAAGGCCUAAGACUAUUCCCCCGAUGAUGAAAACACCAACUCGGCCUAUGCCCUGGGCUUGGCGAUGAUCGAAGGCCAUCCACACUGAGGCAAAAAGAAACACAAACCCACAAAUUAUCUCCAGCCAAAGGGCCUGGUUUGUCUCCAAGCCUAUCACAGUCGGCCCAUGUGGCCCUGGUGCAACAAUUGUGAGGGUACAGCCUCCGAGUGAAUAUGUUUUUUCAAUUUCGCUGUUUACCACAGCUUUCAGUGCCAGGGCACCAAAAAUGGCACCAACGCACUGGGCCAAUAUGUAGAUAAAAGUUUUUGAUAGGGAAAUAAGGCCAGUUAAGAAGGCAGCGAAGGUGAUAAUAGGAUUGAUGUGGCCACCAGAAAUGGGAAAGGUAGCUAGUAGGAGAAUUGUGAUAAUGAUGGCAACAAGGGUUGACAGUAUAAGGUUGGGCAUGUUUGUCCCUGUCUGAAUCGUGGAAAUCACUAUGGUGUCCAAAGCAAAAACAAGAACAGCUGUUCCCAAUAGCUCUGCUACUGAUGCUCUCCAUACCUGAGCAAACAAAAGAUUAUUUGCAUGGUAAGGCGUUGCCCUAAAAAUUCGACAUGCUACUUCUGUAGUUCUGAAGACAAUAAUAAUAUUUAGAUCUCCCGCACCAACUUAUAAUACAAUUUCAAUCCGCAUGAGCCCAUAAAUCCAUGUAAUAAUUUAUCACUUGCAAGAUAUAUUUUGUUAAGAAGUAUGCUAUAUAGUUACCGUCAAAGAGAGAAGGUCUUCUAAGCCCAAUAUUUCUCUCCAUGUAAUUUGCUUAGUCUUCCCUCCCUCGUUCUUAAGUGCCUCUGCCCUGCAGAAUUAUAUGAAAAACAAAACGCUUAUUAGCUCCAGUGAAUAGCAAAAUCUCAGGACAUUACAAACUGGAAGUGAGAGGAAAAAAAAAAAAAAAAGAGAAAGAAAUACGAAGUUAGGCACUUGCAUUGGCGUGGUGGCAAAAGGUUGGAUUCUAUUUCCACUGUAGAGGCUUUCUUCGUCCGGAAUAGGCCCUGCAUAUUAUCCAGCCAUCGUUCUCUUCUGUUUGCAUGUCUCCUCUUUGAACUCUAUAAAUAUAUAUAGCCAGAAACGAAAUAAAAAUAAUUUUCCUUGAGCCAUAGGCAACUCAAUAUUAUACCCUUUUUUUUUACUUUUCUUUAUCACAUUGGUCCAACUGGAAUAUUUAAUUCCAGAUGAUGCAAUAAACCAAUUAUAAAACUAAAUAGAUAAAUUAAGUUUUGAUAUAUAAAAGUGAGUCCAUAAAUAUCAAUUAGCUAUAAAAAAAAAAAAAAAGAUCAAAAAGCCUGAACUUGAUAUAUAAUUUCAUGGAUCAAGAUUGAAUAUCAUCUAGUAGAAAGAAAAGUACAAAGGUAAAGGAUGACAAACAUUUCUUUGCCGCCAUGGUUUUCAGGACCAGGACGUCUGUCUCGACACUUUCUUCUAAUGUUUUAUUAAGAAAGCCAAUUUUCCAAAAGAACCCUAUCUGUAAAACAUCAAGUUCGUCAUCUCCCGUCAUCAUGACAUCUCUGUAGGCAAGGUCAGGGUGAAUCUAUAAUAAACAAUACAAGCAACAAAAGGUCCCACCCAGAAUACCCAAUGGCCAUACCAUAAUCGGCCUCCUUUCAGUAAUGAUGGCCCUAAACACCUUGCAGGGUUCAAGCCCACACCAGCAUAUCCAGCUUUUCCCGUUACAGAAAUGGACACAAAAAAUGCAAGUGUCAUUGCCUCUGCUAGUAUACCACAUACCAUUUGUAAGCCUAGCUCUUUGCAUCUUCUCUUGUCAAAUGCCACGGUUACACCAACAAAUAGCACAAUAAAUGUGCAUGAGAAUUCUAAUAUAAAUGCAUUUGUAGGGCUUAUCCCUUCCCCAUUUCCAUCAAUCAUGCACCCAUCCAGGGAAUAUUUUUCUUCUGUAUUUUUGUCCAUUUGUAUUUUUGUCCAUUACACUCUUGAUUACUAGAUAAGCCACGAUUGAGCCUAUACAUUGAGCCGACACAGAAAACAAGGCACGGACAGGAGUUAUAACACCUUCAAGGGCAUCAAUAAAUGUGAACACAGGGCUCAUGUGACCCCCUGAUAAAGGGACCGUGGUCAACAGGAAGAAGAAGGCAAUGACGAUGAUUGCAAAUGGGAUUAGAAACUUGGGCUCGACAGUGGUUGAUUCUAGGCAUGAGAUUAUGGAAGUGGUUAAUGUGAAUAACAGGCAAGUUGUUAGGGUUGUUGCUACUAGCUCAGUUGGGGUUGCCCUCCAUAUCUGGAAAAAUGAAGGCACACGAUAACAGUUGCAAAUUAAUAAUCCUAUUUUUGCUAGAAAAUUAUAAAGAAUAACUAGCAGUCACUGAUAUAACACUAGACAUUUGAUAAAUCAAGCAGACCUCUGAUGAAAAGAUUUCGUGGGCACCAACGGAAUUCAGUACUUUUAUCAUUAUGGAUUUUUUUUCUUUCAAGUCUGUUGCUUCGCAACCCUGGAGCGAUUUUGAAAAUUCUUGAUUACCAUCAUCUUGGUGGUGUUGGUGGAUGACAACGUCCAUUUGGACUUCAAUUCCAGGGAAAAGUAUGAAAGCUCCCUACAUGUAUGAAGAACUAGGUUGCAAGGAAUAUAUGCAGAACAGUUCAUUAAAAAAUAGGAUAAAACAAAAUAAAUUGACAAAAUCAAGAGGAGGGCUAUUGUCUUUGCCAUUGGAGGUGGGUUAAGUGACUUGAUCUAUCAGCCAUGUCCCGAGUGAAAAGUCCAAGGACAUUCUACAUUAAAAUCCUCAGGCUUUGAUACAAACAACAAAUGUUAUGGUUAAAUUAUGAGCUAAGGUGAUCGGAUAUCCAUUAUGAAAAACUAAGGAUUCUUUUGGAUAAUUAUUAGAUAUAUCUUGCAUACAGCCAGAUCUUUAAUGAGAGGUGAGAUUGCUCUGAUGCCUUUACUAUCUGUUGCUAUUGCUGAAAUAUAGUUUCAUCACAUAAUAUAAAAUUUAGGAUCAGCUGCAGGGUCUUUUAAUAGUGCGCAAAAAUCUGCAUCCUCUUUGAUUUCGUUUGAACUAUAUACUAAUUUCUUGCUAGGUUUAGCCAAUUAAUAUUUUUUUUUCAAUUCAUAUUGAAAUCAACUCGUUGUCCGAGUUGUAAACCUUUUUAGACUGUUUAGGUCAACUCGUGGUGCCAUAAGUUUUUUAAUAACUAUAUACAUCAAUGUGAAAAGAUUGAUAUUAUAGGAUAUGUUUUUUUGUUGGAAUGAAUACCACUAGAGAGGUCUGAAAAAUACUAAAUAUCAUUACAUUUAUUAAGAAGAACUAAUAUAUAGAUAUACUAGUAUAACCAGAUCUUAAGAUCAAACAGGCUUGUAUUUUUAAAGCGUGUUCUAAUUUUAACAUCAAACAGACGUGUUUGAUAAUUUUUUUUAUUUAUAUUCUUAGAUAAUUUUUAAAAAUAUUUUUAACUAGAAAAAACAUCAAAUUAAUUUUAAUUUUUUAGUAUUUAUAAUAAUUUUGAUGUACUAAUAUUAAAAAUAAAAAAAUCUAAAAACUAUUAUUUUCAUACAAGCAACGAGUUAUUAAUAAAAACAUCAUAUACACCCCAACCCCCCUAACUACACAACAUUGUGCCCAUGAAACGGCAAGAGAUGUAUUAUUACAUUAACAGAGACGACAACAUGAAAAGCCUCUCUAUUUUGAUUCUGCUCCAGGAGGUGUUCCCGUGGAAUCAUCUUGGUGUAGAGAGAAAACGCCACGCUGGCAACUACAGGCCCAACCCAAAACACCCAAUGCCCCUUCCACAGAUGACCACCUCUAACGAGUGCCGGACCUAAACAUCUAGCUGGGUUCAUCCCAACUCCGGCAUAGCCUUUGGUUGCGGUCACUGUUGUCGAGAUGAACACGAGAAGGCCCACUACCAGCCCAAUUAUUGAG
RNAcentral lists this long non-coding RNA (7188 nucleotides) under Populus trichocarpa (black cottonwood). Its description in RNAcentral is "long non-coding RNA (PTRI_LNC002364)". The record is from RNAcentral. Lineage: Eukaryota; Viridiplantae; Streptophyta; Magnoliopsida; Malpighiales; Salicaceae.